RNAcentral lists this ribosomal RNA (443 nucleotides) under uncultured bacterium. RNAcentral's name for it is "partial 16S ribosomal RNA". It matches the Rfam family "Bacterial small subunit ribosomal RNA", at positions 338 to 795 of the family's 1533-position model. The record is from RNAcentral.
CCUACGGGUGGCAGCAGUGGGGAAUAUUGGACAAUGGGGGGAACCCUGAUCCAGCGACGCCGCGUGAGUGAAGAAGUAUUUCGGUAUGUAAAGCUCUAUCAGCAGGGAAGAAAGAAAUGACGGUACCUGACUAAGAAGCCCCGGCUAACUACGUGCCAGCAGCCGCGGUAAUACGUAGGGGGCAAGCGUUAUCCGGGUUUACUGGGGGCAAAGGGAGCGUAGACGGGGAUGCAAGUCUGAAGUGAAAGGCGGGGGCCCAACCCCCGGACUGCUUUGGAAACUGUAUGGCUGGAGUGAAGGAGAGGUAAGUGGAAUUCCUAGUGUAGCGGUGAAAUGCGUAGAUAUUAGGAGGAACACCAGUGGCGAAGGCGGCUUACUGGACUGUAACUGACGUUGAGGGUCGAAAGCGUGGGGAGCAAACAGGAUUAGAUACCCCAGUAGUC